GUGAGGUGAUCUGGCUGCACCAUCUGGCACCCCAUUGAUUGCCAGGGUUGAUUCGGCUGAUCUGGCUGGCUAGGCAGGUGUCCCCUUCCUCCCUCACUGCUCCUCCUGAAGCUGAGCGCUAGGUCGAAGAGGAUGACCUUCCCCGAAUAGAGGAGGAUCAGUCUUUGGUCAAGGCUAUACUAGUAGUUGCACUUCCCUGCUAGAACCCUGUUUGUUAUCUUAAGCAUUGAAACAUUAAGACAAAUUAAUAAUUUAGUGUUGAAUCUGUCAUUCAUACU
Molecule: unclassified non-coding RNA, 278 nt
Organism: Mesocricetus auratus (golden hamster)
Lineage: Eukaryota; Metazoa; Chordata; Mammalia; Rodentia; Cricetidae
Gene: 7SK
Rfam family: 7SK RNA
About the family: 7SK was discovered as an abundant small nuclear RNA in the mid-70s but a possible function has only recently been suggested. Two independent studies have found that 7SK RNA binds the CDK9/cyclin T complex (known as elongation factor P-TEFb).
Source: Ensembl